AAAAGGUUGAUAACAGGUUAUUAACAGGUCACCUCUAUGUAUCGUUGGUUAGUGGUAGGGUUAGUAAAAGGUUGAUUAUAGGUUUAAUAACCAGGUUACCCCUAUGUAUCGUUGGUUAGUGUUAGGGUUAGUAAAAGGUUGAUAAUAGGUUAUUAACAGGUUACCUCUAUGUACAGUUGGCUAGGGUUAGGGUCAGUAAUAGGUUAUUAACAGGUUACCUCUAUGUACAGUUGGUUAGGGUUAGUAAUAGGUUAUUAACAGGUUACCUCUAUGUACAGUUGGUUAGGGUUAGGGUCAGUAAUAGGUUAUUAACAGGUUAUGUCUAUGUACCAUUGGUUAGGGUUAGGGUCAGUAAUAGGUUAUUAACAGGUUAUGUCUAUGUACCAUUGGUUAGGGUUAGGGUUAGUAAUAGGUUAUUAACAGGUUACCU
Molecule: long non-coding RNA, 430 nt
Organism: Oncorhynchus tshawytscha (Chinook salmon)
Lineage: Eukaryota; Metazoa; Chordata; Actinopteri; Salmoniformes; Salmonidae
Exons: 3
Source: RefSeq, a predicted model, not a curated record